RNAcentral lists this long non-coding RNA (624 nucleotides) under Homo sapiens (human). RNAcentral describes it as "HSALNT0162665". Lineage: Eukaryota; Metazoa; Chordata; Mammalia; Primates; Hominidae. The record is from RNAcentral.
GGUGGAGAGAAGGCCACAGCUGUCUUUGGGUAGGGCGCCUGUGUGUGCAUGCUGUGUGCAUGUGCUGGAGAGACUAAGGCAUAGAGAAGGGCCCAAGCGAUGAGGUAAAGUGAGUCUCCUGGCUGCGCUAGUCCCUUCUUUCCAGGCACAAAGAAGUUGAACUUGUUAUUCAUGUAGGCCCCCUUCCUCUCACCUCAGCUUUUAGUAAGCAGUGUGUGUGUGCAUGAGUAGCUGUGUGUGACAGAGUAAGUCCCUGUGCCUUUCUAGAUUUCAGUAAUUCAGGUUUGCAGUUUCAACAGAAAUAAUCUGUAAAUGACACAAGCAAAUUUACAAGUUAGAUUAGCAACUUUACAUUCCUUAAAAUCUGAUGUUAUAUUUUUAAAAAUGCCUCUGGGUACAGGCAAAAUUAUGUCAUAUGGCCACUGGAACUGAAGUCCUUACCAGCUAUAUGAAGAAUAUUCAGAUUGUUUCUGUUAUCUCUGCAUUUUAAAGUAGCAAAAUACUAAGCCAUUAGGUUAUUGAACCUGUAAUAUUCCCACAGGGGUUUUAUGUCUACCCCAUGGGAUUCAAUUAAUUUUCCUGGACUCUGGUUAGACUGUUUCCUUUCCCUCUUAGGCAUUUGGC